UACGGAGGGGGCGAGCGUUAUUCGGAAUUAUUGGGCGUAAAGGGCGCGUAGGCGGCCCUAUAAGUCAAAGGUGAAAUCCCUCGGCUCAACUGAGGAACUGCCUUUGAAACUGUAGGGCUUGAGUCCGGGAGGGGGUAGCGGAAUUCCCAGUGUAGCGGUGAAAUGCGUAGAUAUUGGGAGGAACACCAGUGGCGAAGGCGGCUACCUGGACCGGAACUGACGCUGAGGCGCGAAAGCGUGGGUAGCAAACAGG
RNAcentral lists this ribosomal RNA (253 nucleotides) under uncultured bacterium. RNAcentral's name for it is "partial 16S ribosomal RNA". It matches the Rfam family "Bacterial small subunit ribosomal RNA", at positions 524 to 776 of the family's 1533-position model. The record is from RNAcentral.